This 9033-nucleotide long non-coding RNA is filed under the name Malus domestica (apple). RNAcentral's name for it is "long non-coding RNA (MDOM_LNC002198)". The record is from RNAcentral. Lineage: Eukaryota; Viridiplantae; Streptophyta; Magnoliopsida; Rosales; Rosaceae.
AGAGAUUUGAAAGUGUCAAGGGCUUAGGGCUAAAUUAGUUGGAGGGAUAUGAAAGACUAGAUGCAAUGCAUUAAGAGGGAUUUGUAAUGACUGCUUGAAAGGAGACAUUUAUAAAUACUUUGUUUAUGUGUGUAAUGAUCAUGUAGUGCAUUUUAAAUGUCUAUAUCCUUCAUCCAAACAUAGGGUGAGAGAACUAGGAGUUUUAGCAUACACAACUCACUGACAUAGGACAAUACAAAUUAAGGCAAAACAAACAGAUGUCAAAAUCCAAAAUGCCUUACUUCUUUGAGUCAUUAUGUGUGCAUUAUGCCCUUAUCAGACCCCUUGCUUUUUUGUUUAUGAAAACUCUGGGAAGACUAUGAAGAUCGUGAGGAAAGAAUAUCUCCGCAUAGAAAUCCAAAAAGCCCCAUAAGCGAAGCAUUUCCAAAUUUCUGAGUAUACGAGCACAAGCAUUGCAGGUGAUCCUGAACCAUGUGGCAAAACCUGUUUGCGAUGUCUACAUUAAACUCCUCAAAACAACGCCCGUAUUGUAGGAUUCUCACAGAACAACUUGAAAUAACCAAGAAGUAUGGCAGACUUCCAUAACGAGUGGAGAUAUAGAGCUCAUGGUUCAGAUUGAUGCCUUGCAUUGGUCCUUCGGAAACCCUGAAAUAAAAUUAGAAAAGGAAUCUUGUGACUUAUUGCUCUUUUCUUAAUUUAUUCAUAUUUGUCCAGCCAAUCAAAGUGGUAACAAGUUAGAAACCUUGAUUCUAAGUUCCAAAUGUAGAAUAUCAAAGUACCUUGAUUCUAAGCGAAGCAUUUUCAAAAUUUCAGACUAUAUGAGCACAAGCAUUGCAGGUAAUCCGGAACGAUGUGUCAAAACCUGUUAGCGACGUCUACAUUAAACUCCUGAAAACAAUGGUCGUAUUGUAGGGUCCUCACAGAACAACCUUGAUAUAACAAACAAGUAAGACAGAUUGUGCUGCCCUUCAAUAGAAUACCAAGUAUCCUUACAUAUAUGCACAUAUCUUAGAUUAGUUAAUGUAUAAAGUAUAUUCCUUUCGGACAAAGUACCUGUCGAUUGAUCUAUUAAUAAAGUUAGCAGCAUGUGCUGCCCUUCAAGAACAAAUUCCCUGGUUGAUCCUGCUGAAAUGGCCAGAAUAAGUUACUUUCAAAAUACGAGGACCUGUAAAUAAUCUUGAAUGUAACAUAGAUCUAUCAAUUAAAAGGCAAAAGAAUACCAAAGUUACAAGACUAAUCAAUUAACAAUAUACCACAGGCAAUAUGAUUCUCUUAAACGUAAAGUUGGGAUGAGAGAUUUGAAAGUGUCAAGGGCUUAAGGCUAAAUUAGUUGGAGGGAUAUGAAAUAAAAUUAGAAAAGGAAUCUUGUGACUUAUUGCUCUUUUCUUAAUUUAUUCAUAUUUGUCCAGCCAAUCAAAGUGGUAACAAGUUAGAAACCUUGAUUCUAAGUUCCAAAUGUAGAAUAUCAAAGCUCAUAAGAAUUAGAAACAAAGAGAAGAUUUCAGAGAGUUUUACCUUCACUGGUUUUCUCCAACUCCCAUUAUUUCCAUGUCAAAUGGGGAAAAAUCGUGUUUAAUCCUUUCUUCUCAUCGCUAUUGAAUGUCGAUGUCAACUCGAGCUCAACCCUUUUCCAUACCUCAUCUAGAAAAGAUGGUCCUGAUUCAAAGAUGAAGAAAUAAUGAUUUAUAAAGCGAUCUUAAUUACUUGUGCAAGUUUGACAAUCUGGACCUUUUCCUUUUGUUAUGAUUCACGCAUAUAAUCCAUCGACAAUGAUCAUGAAACAAGAAAAGAAAAGGAAACGUAAGUUACACUCCAGUAUUCAACAACUUACGAUGGAAUCUGUAAGAGUGCAGCAGCCAGCCAAAUUCACACGUUGUUUUUGUGCAGAAACAUAUCGGCACCUAUGUAAAGAUGACAGAUGCAAUGAAAGAUGAGUAAGCAUUCCACCGUAUUCAAACCACAACAGUAAGAGGAAAAAAAAAAACAUCAUCAAGGAGUUACCUCGUCCUGUGCAGGAGAAUCAUAUUGGUGUCAUAGCUAGCCAGAGCACCCAAUAACUUACUUGGAGUUACCUCGUCCUGUGCAGGAGUUACCUUGAUUGAUUCUCGUUUGAUUGCUUCAGUCCAAAUGCUAGAAAUAAAAUAAGGUGUUUAUGAGGAUUAAAGGGUGUGCAAAUAUCACUUCCCCAGAUUUAUGAUCCAACUAUUCGGAAGCUGGCCAGCUUCUCAAGAACGCUUUCUCCUCCGAAUCAGCAGUGCCAUACAGAGAGAAAUCCAAAGAAGGAAACGACUCCCAUAUAGGAGUUUUAUGCAGAAACUGGGGCAGCCUAAUACUGGCAACGUGGAUGCAAACCUACUUUCUCUUCUGAUGUCUAGAAACUUCAAUUAACCUCAGGACAUGAGCUCCAUGCUUUCUUCAAUGCUUUCACAAGGUCUAGAAGAUCUGCGUGUUUUCUUCGUUGCUUUCAGGAGUCUGGGGAACCUGCAAGUUCUCUUCAUUGUUUGCAAACCAAGUUCUGGAGGGCCUCUGGCUUCUCGCCCGUUCUUGCCUGCGAGCUAAGCAAAAAAAUUAAUGCAUCAACAACCAGUUUCCAGAAUGCAUGACCAUAAGGCUGUAUUCUAACAGCCUCACUUAUUUCCUGGCUAUAACAUAAGUCAAUAAUUUCCUUUCCGGAAUGAAAUAAACUUAAAAGUGCCACUUUUCCCAGUUUAUAUUUAAUGAACCUCCUCCUACUGUUUAGAAUUUGUACAUGAAGCGCUAUCAUGGUUCAGAGUUGUUACCAAGAAAAUUUCUAUCAUAUGACGCCUGCUCCAACCAUCCUCGACCAGAAGUGAGCUACACCGUAUCAUCAAUUUCUCCACAGCAUCUUCCUCUAGAACAGUUAAUGAAUCAAAUGGUUGCCUCCAUGAUGGACGACCCUGCAUCAUCCAGAUAAUAAUAAUACAUUAUUAUUCAACCACAAAUAAAGUAACAAUUUGUUAGUCACUCAAAAUAGAAAUAGCACGUUAGAUCUCCCCAAUUUACAGAAGGAGUGAACUUGAACUUGCCACUACAGCAUUUGAAAGUUAUAAGUAUCACAAGCAGACAAUAGCGCCUUACUAGCUCCGCUGUCGUACAUUUUGCCGGUUGACUAUUCCAACCAUCCAAUAUUCCGGCCUUCCAAUCUAUUGAUGAUCUAGUCUAUGUUGAGCAGCCUUAACAGAUGCAAGCUGAAAGCCACUGGAAAAACAGAAAGGAUCCUCACAUAUAUGCGUUUAACUUAGAUUAGUUUUAAGUAGAAACUACAUUCAUUUCGGACAAAGUACCUGUCUUCGUGCAGCCCUCGAGAACAAAUUCCCUGCUUGAUCAUGCUGAAAUGGCCAGGAACGUGUCCUUCAAACUUCUUAAAAUCUGUAGAUACAGUAAACAUGAGACCAUACAUUGCUAAGAUUAAAGGCUUGGACUGUUCGCAGACCUUAUCCAAAGUUAACUAAAUAUGUAUGUAUAUACAAUUACAUAAAUACACGCACAGACACAAAUUACACAAGGAUGCAUACAUAUAAUCGAUAAUCUAUACUUCUACUCACUCUGAAUGCAAUAUCCAUACUUACAACCUCUCAAUCGAAAUCUAACGGUUGACAUCUACAUCCUGGUAGAGAGAACGUUUCUUUUUUGGAAAAUUAUCAGUUAUUGGAUGAAGGCUGGCGAACAAAAACAUUUAUACUUCAAAAGAAUACCUAAGUUACAAGACUAAUCAAUUAACAAUAUACCACAGGCAAUAUGAUUCUCUUAAACGUAAAGUUGGGAUGAGAGAUUUGAAAGUGUCAAGGGCUUAAGGCUAAAUUAGUUGGAGGGAUAUGAAAGACUAGAUGCAAUGCAUUUAGAGGGAUUUGUAAAUGACUGCUUGAAGGGAGACAUUUAUAAAUACUUUGUUUAUGUGUGUAAUGAUCAUGUAGUGCAUUUUAAAUGUCUAUAUCCUUCAUCCAAACAUAGGGUGAGAGAACUAGGAGUUUUAGCAUACACAACUCACUGACAUAGGACAAUACAAAUUAAGGCAAAACAAACAGUGUCAAAAUCCAAAAUGCCUUACUUCUUUGAGUCAUUAUGUGUGCAUUAUGCCCUUAUCAGACUCCUUGCUUUUUUGUUUAUGAAAACUCUGGGAAGACUAUGAACAUCGUGAGGAAAGAAUAUCUCCGCAUAGAAAUCCAAAAAGCCCCAUAAGCGAAGCAUUUCCAAAUUUCUGAGUAUACGAGCACAAGCAUUGCAGGUGAUCCUGAACCAUGUGGCAAAACCUGUUUGCGACGUCUACAUUAAACUCCUAAAAACAAUGCCCGUAUUGUAGGAUUCUCACAGAACAACCUUGAAAUAACCAAGAAGUAUGGCAGACUUCCAUAACGAGCGGAGAUAUAGAGCUCAUGGUUCAGAUUGAUGCCUUGCAUUGGACCUUCGGAAACCCUGAAAUAAAAUUAGAAAAGGAAUCUUGUGACUUAUUGCUCUUUUCUUAAUUUAUUCAUAUUUGUCCAGCCAAUCAAAGUGGUAACAAGUUAGAAACCUUGAUUCUAAGUUCCAAAUGUAGAAUAUCAAAGCUCAUAAGAAUUAGAAACAAAGAGAAGAUUUCAGAGAGUUUUACCUUCACUGGUUUUCUCCAACUCCCAUUAUUUCCAUGUCAAAUGGGGAAAAAUCGUGUUUAAUCCUUUCUUCUCAUCGCUAUUGAAUGUCGAUGUCAACUCGAGCUCAACCCUUUUCCAUACCUCAUCUAGAAAAGACGGUCCUGAUUCAAAGAUGAAGAAAUAAUGAUUUAUAAAGUGAUCUUAAUUACUUGUGCAAGUUUGACAAUCUGGACCUUUUCCUUUUGUUAUGAUUCACGCAUAUAAUCCAUCGAUAAUGAUCAUGAAACAAGAAAAGAAAAGGAAACGUAAGUUACACUCCAGUAUUCAACAACUUACGAUGGAAUCUGUAAGAGUGCAGCAGCCAGCCAAAUUCACACGUUGUUUUUGUGCAGAAACAUAUCGGCACCUAUGUAAAGAUGACAGAUGCAAUGAAAGAUGAGUAAGCAUUCCACCGUAUUCAAACCACAACAGUAAGAGGAAAAAAAAACAUCAUCAAGGAGUUACCUCGUCCUGUGCAGGAGAAUCAUAUUGGUGUCAUAGCUAGCCAGAGCACCCAAUAACUUACUUGGUAUUGUACGAAGUAAUUUAUGUAAGCAAACACUUGUUGCUAUUGGAUGAUAUUGUCCUGAAAUUUAAUUGAUUGAUUAAUUAAACACAGUAUAGCUGACAGUAAACAAUUGAAGUGAAACUUUUACAGAAUCUGAAUCUCGUGUGUACGUACCUGACAUUGACUUGAGAUCUCAAUUGAUGAUGACUUGCUUGCCUAUCUUGAUGCAAGGAAUGUGAGCUAUCUUGCUCCACUCUUCUCCCGUCUUCUCCUGACACCUCUUCAUCAGAGAAGGACAGUUGUAGAUGCGCAAACAAGAGAGCGAUGCCAGCAAAUCCUCUUUUGGCAGGAAUUUGAGACUAUCACACUCGUAAAUUUGGAGCUCUUGAAGAGAAGUGAGGUGUUGAAUUCCCUUUCCCUCCAAAGAUUUCAGACUCGUAAAUUUGGAUGAUAGCGUCCUGAAAUUUAAACAAGUAUGUUUUUUAAUGGUGGUAUAGUUGAGUUAAACAGUUGAAAAGUUAAAACUGAUUGAUUAAUUAAACACUAUAUAUAGAUGACAGCAAACAAUUGAAGUGAAACUUUUACAUGAUCUGAAUCUUGUAUGUUAUUCUAUGAAAAAUGGUGCUAUGUACGUACCUGACUUUGAGUUGAGAUCUCAAAUGAUGACUUGGUCGCCUAUCUCGAUGCAAGGAAUGUGAGCUAUCUUGCUCCACUCUUCUCCUGUCUUCUCCUCACACCCGUAAUACAUGUGUUACACGCGAGAUAUUGACAAAACCCUCAUUAAUUAUUUCCUCACUAACAAGGCGAUAAUUUUGCCAGGAUCAUACAUCCAAGAAUAUGACAACCUGAGUACAAACGAUUUGAUUAUUUUUGCAUCCCAAAUACCACAUAUCCUAUGAUUUCAUCCAAAAACAGUUCAGAAUAUUCAUCUAAAGAACUUAGUUAUGAACAGAGGAGAUCCACAUGAUUUUACGAUGAAGUACAAUUUGACAAAAUAAUUCAUGAUUUACAUAAGAGUAAACGUGUUACCAGUACCACUGCAGCACUUGAAAGUUAAAGUAUCACAAGCAGAUAAUAGGGGCCUUACUAGCUCCGCUUUUUUCCAUGUGCCGGUUGACUCUUCCAACCAUCCAAUAUUCCGGCCUUCCAAUCCAUUGAUGAUGUGGUCGAAUCAACUAGUAUAUAAAAGUAUGGCAUUAAAUAUGAAAAUGCAGAAUGUGGCAGGGCUUAUAUCUCUGGUUUUAUUAAUCUUGUUAUAUACAGGUAGAAAACACUGGAUAUCUGGCAAAACAUUUCCAGGAUGAAGUUCACAUAAAGUCCGUUUUUUCCCAGUUUGCAUGAAAUUCCUACUAAGUAGGUUUGUUCUGCUAUAAGCAAUAAUGUACAUGAUCACACAACUGAGGUUCAGAGUUGUUACCAAGAAAAUUUCUAACAUACGACGGCCUACUCCAACCAUCCUCUAUCAAAAUUAGGUUAAGGCGUAUCAUCAAUUUCUCUGUGGCAUCUUCCACCAAAACAGCUAAUCAAUCAGACAGUCGCCUCCGUAGGGGACGAUCCUGAAGAAUCCAAAUAAAGGUACUUUAUUAGAUUUGGUAUCAAAGUCGGAUGUCAUCUUACAUAUAGAAAUUAGGAAACUUACCUUUUUGUCCUGCUACAACUUUAGAUAUUCAAGUGAUUGCUAAUAAAGUCCACAAUGGUAGAAAAGAAUGAUGUAAUGUCUUAAUUCCUUCGGAUCAGCUUCUGGGAGAAUAAGAUGUUCACAAGCUGUGACAAAGAAGCCUUAGCAGAUGCAAGCUGAACGCCAGUGGAAAAAUACCAAGUAUCCUUAUAUAUGUGCACUUAAGUUGGAUUAGUUUUAAGUAGAAACUACAUUCACUUCGGACAAAGUACCAGUCUUCUUUAUACUUGAUCUAUCAAUAAAGUUAGCAGCACGUGCUGCCUUCAAGAACAAAUUCCCUGGUUGAUCAUGCUGAAAUGGGCCAGAAUGCGCCCUUCAAAUUUUUUUAGAUCUGUACAAACAGUAGACUAUGAGACCAGAUGUAGCUUAAGGUUAAAGCCUUGUACACGUCCGAAGAUCAAUUAUGCAUGUAAAUAAAAUUAUAUAAAGACAAUGUCACACACAAACAAAUGUACACAAAGAUAUAUUUAAUCUUUACCUUGACUCACUUUGAGCACAAAACCCAUGCUUACAACUGCUCAAUUGAAAUCUCAUGGUUGACAUCCUAGCGCAGAGACCUUUAUAAAUACUUUGCUUAUGUUGUAAUGAUCAUGUAGUUCAUUUCAAAUAUCUAUAUCUAAGGUUUUGUAGUUGAUUUCUAACUAAUUUAUCCUAAAUUCUUUAAUACUUUCAAAUCCCUCAUCCAAACGCAGGGUGAGAGAAGUAGGAGUUUUAGCAUACACAACUCAUUGACAUAGGACAAUGCAAAUCAAGGCGAAAAAAAACAGAUCUGUCGACAUGAUAACACAAGUCACCUCACCUCCACUAAAACGGCUUGCGAAGUCAUUAUGUGUGCAUUAUCAGAUUACUUGCUUUUAACCUCUGGGAAGACUAUGAAGAUCAUGACGAAGCAUUUUCAAAAUUUGAGUAUAUGAGCACAAGCAUUGCAGGUGAUCCUGAGCGAUGUGUCAGAACCAGUUUGCAACGUCUACAUUAAACUCCUGAAAACAAUGCCCAUAUUGUAGGGUUCUCACAGAACAACCUUGAGACAACAAACAAGUAAGGCAGACUUCCGUACUGAGUGGAGAGAUAGAGCUCAUGGUUCAGAGUGAUGCCUUGCAUUGGUCCUUCAGAAACCCUGAAAUAAAAUUAAAAAAGGAACCUUGUGACUUAUUGCUCUUUUCUUAAUUUAUUCAUAUUUGUCCAGCCAAUCAAAGUGGUAACAAGUUAGAAACCUUGAUUCUAAGUUCCAAAUGUAGAAUAUCAAAGCUCAUAAGAAUUAGAAACAAAGAGAAGAUUUCAGAGAGUUUUACCUUCACUGGUUUUCUCCAACUCCCAUUAUUUCCAUGUCAAAUGGGGAAAAAUCGUGUUUAAUCCUUUCUUCUCAUCGCUAUUGAAUGUCAAUGUCAACUCGAGCUCAACCCUUUUCCAUACCUCACCUAGAGAAGACGGUCCUGAUUCAAAGAAGAAGAAAUAAUGAUUUAUAAAGUGAUCUUAAUUACUUGUGCAAGUUUGACAAUCUGGACCUUUUCCUUUUGUUAUGAUUCACGCAUAUAAUCCAUUGAUAAUGAUCAUGAAACAAGAAAAGAAAAGGAAACGUAAGUUACACUCCAGUAUUCAACGACUUACGAUGGAAUCUGUAAAAGUGCAGCAGCCAGCCAAAUUCACACGUUGUUUUUGUGCAGAAACAUAUCGGCACCUAUGUAAAGAUGACAGAUGCAAUGAAAGAUGAGUAAGCAUUCCACCGUAUUCAAACCACAACAGUAAGAGGGAAAAAAAACAUCAUCAAGGAGUUACACAACUCACUGACAUAGGACAAUACAAAUUAAGGCAAAACAAACAGUGUCAAAAUCCAAAAUGCCUUACUUCUUUGAGUCAUUAUGUUUGCAUUAUGCCCUUAUCAGACUCCUUGCUUUUUUGUUUAUGAAAACUCUGGGAAGACUAUGAAGAUCGUGAUUCGUGAGGAAAGAAUAUCUCUGCAUAGAAAUCCAAAAGGCCCCAUAAGCGAAGCAUUUCCAAAUUUCUGAGUAUACGAGCACAAGCAUUGCAGGUGAUCCUGAACCAUGUGGCAAAACCUGUUUGCGACGUCUACAUUAAACUCCUAAAAACAAUGCCCGUAUUGUAGGAUUCUCACAGAACAACCUUGAAAUAACCAAGAAGUAUGGCAGACUUCCAUCAUGAGCGGAGAUAUAGAGCUCAUGGUUCAGAUUGAUGCCUUGCAUUGGUCCUUCGGAAACCCU